AAACUUUCAAACGGAUCUCUUGGUUCUGGCAUCGAUGAAGAACGCAGCAAAUGCGAUAAGUAUGUGAAUUGCAGAUUCAGUGAAUCAUCGAAUCUUUGAACGCACAUUGCGCCGCCAGUAUUCUGGCGGCAUGCUGUUCGAGCGUCAUUUCAACCUCAGCCAGCUUGGUGUUGGGAGCUGCAGUCCUGCUGCACUCCCAAUACAUUGGCGGUCACGUCGAGCUUCCAUAGCGUAGUAUUUACUAUCGUUACUGUAUCGUCGCGGCACGCGUUAACCCAAUUCUGAUGUUGACUCGGAUCAGGUAGGAUACCGCUGACUUAGCAUAUCAUAAGCGGAGGAAAGAACCAACAGGAUUGCCUAGUACGGCGAGUGAGCGCACAGCUCAAUUUGAAUCUGGCUUUCGGCCGAGUUGUAUUUGUAGAGGAUGAUUUUGAUGCGGUGCUUCGAGUUCCUGGACGGGACGCAUAGAGGGUGAGCCCGUCUGGUUGGAUGCAAAUCUCUGUAAUCUCUUCGACGAGUCGAGUAGUUUGGAUGUGCUCUAAUGGGGUAUAUGUCUUCUAAGCUAAUACGGCAGGACGAUAGCGCACAGUAGAGUGAUCGAAGAUGAAAGCACUUUGAAAGAGAGUUAAAAGUACGUGAAAUUGUUGAAAGGGAAGCGUUUAUGACCAGACUUGGGCUUGGUUAUCAUCUGGGUUCUCUCCAGUGCACUUUUCAGCCAGGCCAGCAUCAGUUUUCGCGGGGAUAAGACUUCGGAUGUGGCUCCUCGGGGUGUUAUAGCCGUUGUGUAAUACCUGGUGGGGACUGAGGUUCGCGCUUCUGCAGGAUGCUGGCGUAAUGGUCAUCAACGACCGUCUUGAAACGGACAAGGAGUCGUCUUCGUAUGCGAGUGUUCGGGUGUCAACCCUACGCGUAUGAAGUGAACGCAGGUGAGAGCUUCGGCGCAUCAUCGACCGAUCCUGAUGUUCUCGGAUGGAUUUGAGUAGAGCAUACGGGCCGGACCGAAGAAGGUGACUAUGCUGUGUAGGUGAGCAGAGAAACUUGGUGAGGCUCGCAGCGGUUUGACGUGCAAUCGAUCGUCAACAUGGCAUGGGGCGAAGACUAUCGAACUUCUAGUAGCUGGUUUCGCGAGUUUCCCUCAGGAUAGCAGUGUUGAACUCAGUUUUAUGAGGUAAGCGAUGAUUAGGGAUCGGGGCGCUAUUUAGCUUCAUCAUUCUCAACUUUAAUAUGUAGAGCUCUUGUUGCUUAAUUGAACGUGAGCAUUCGAUGUAUCAACUAGUGGCAUUUUGGUAAGCGAACUGGCGAUGCGGGAUGACCGAACGCGAGGUUAAGGUGCAGAGUAGACGUCAUCAGACACACAAAGGUGUUAGUAAUCUUGACAGCAGGACGGUGGCAUGGAAGUCGGAAUCGCUAGACUGUGUAACAUCACUGCGAAUGUACUAGCCUGAAAUGGAUGGCGUCAGCGUCUCACCAUACUCGCCUCAGGGUAGAACGAGCCUGAGGAGUAGGCGGACGUGAGGUCAGUGACGAGCUAGGCGUGAGCCGGUUGACGGCCUCUAGUGCAGAUCUUGGUGGUAGUAGCAAUACUUCAAUGAGAACUUGAAGACCGAAGUGGGAAGGUUCAUGUGAACAGCGGUUGGACAUGGGUUAGUCGAUCUAAGCUAUAGGAAGUUCGUUUCAAGGCGCACUUUGCGCCGUCUAGCGAAGGGAGCCGGUCAUAUUCGGCACUGGAUGUGGGUUUUGCGCGGCACGCACUGAACGUGGAGACGACGGCGGGGCCCAAGCGAGUUCUCUUUUCUUUUAACGUCUCUCACCUGAAUCGGUUUGUCCGGAGCUAGGGUUUAAUGGCUGGAAGAGCCGGACCUUGCGGGUUUGGUGCGCUCUCGACGUCCUUGAAAUCACGGGAAGAAUAUUCUCACGCAGGUCGUACUCUAACGCAGCAGGUCUCCAGGUGAACAGCUCUGGUUGAUAGACAUGUAGAUAAGGAGUCGGCAAAUAGAUCCGUAACUUCGGGAAAGGAUUGGCUCUAAGGGUUGGGCACGUUGGGCUUGGCGGACGUCUGGGAGCAGGCCGCAUAGUCGGGCAACGACGGAGGCGGCCGCAUCGGGUGCUGAUGCCUUGGCAGGCUUCGGCGUCGGCGUGCGGUUAACACCACUUAGAACUGGUACGGACAGGGGAAUCUGACUGUCUAUUAAACUAGCAUUGCGAUGGCAGAAGUGGUGUUGACGCAAUGUGAUUUCUGCCAGUGCUCUGAAUGUCAAGUGAAGUAUUCACAAGCGCGGGUAAACGGCGGGAGUACUAUGAUCUCUUAGGUAGCAAUGCUCGUCAUCUAUUAGUGACGCGCAUGAAUGGAUUACGAGAUUCCACUGUCCUAUUACUAUCUAGCGAACCAGCAAGGACGGGCUUGGCAGAAUCAGCGGGAAGAGACCUGUUGAGCUUGACUCUAGUUUGACAUUGUGAAAGACAUAGGAGUGUAGAAUAGGUGGGAGCUUCGGCGCGGUGAAUACCAUAUCUAUUGUUUUUUACUUAUUCAAUGAGCGGGGCUGGAUUUACGUCAACUUCUGGUUUUAAGUCUUCGCGGCGACCGGGUUGAGACUUGUCAGGUGGGAGUUUGGCUGGGCGGCAUCUGUUAACAUACGCAGGUGUCUAAGGGGGCUCAUGGAGAAGAAUCUCAGUGAACAAAGGGUAAAGUCCCUUGAUUUUGAUUUUCAGUGUGAUACAACCAUGAAGUGUGGCUAUCGAUCUUUAGUCCUCGACAUUUGAGGCUAGAGGUGCAGAAAGUUACAGGAUACUGGCUUGUGGCGGCAAGCGUUCAUAGCGACGUCGCUUUUUGAUCUUCGAUGUCGGCUCUUCCUAUCAUACGAGCAGAAUUCGGUAGCGUUGGAUUGUUCACCUAUAGGACGUGAGCUGGGUUUAGACCGUCGUGAGACAGGUUAGUUUACCUAUGAUGACUCACCGCAUGGUAAUUCAGCUUAGUACGAGGAACGCUGAUUCAGAUAAUUGGUUUUUGCGGCUGUCGACCGGGCAGUGCGCGAGCUACAUUGCUGGAUAUGGCUGAACGCUCUAAGUCAGAUCAUGCCAGACGCGGUGAUACACCGCAGUAUAGAUGGACAAGAUAGGCUCGGCUUAGCGUUUAGCAGGCGAUUCUCACGGCGCUCGAAGCGCGUCGUGGUAUUUCGCGUAUUGU
Molecule: ribosomal RNA, 3184 nt
Filed under: Fusarium culmorum
Lineage: Eukaryota; Fungi; Ascomycota; Sordariomycetes; Hypocreales; Nectriaceae
Description: eukaryotic LSU rRNA
Rfam family: Eukaryotic large subunit ribosomal RNA (bases 288-3099)
Source: RNAcentral